RNAcentral lists this ribosomal RNA (549 nucleotides) under uncultured bacterium. RNAcentral describes it as "bacterial SSU rRNA". It matches the Rfam family "Bacterial small subunit ribosomal RNA", at positions 355 to 896 of the family's 1533-position model. The record is from RNAcentral.
UGGGGAAUAUUGGACAAUGGGCGAAAGCCUGAUCCAGCCAUGCCGCGUGUGUGAAGAAGGCCUUUUGGUUGUAAAACACUUUAAGUGGGGAGGAAAAGCUUGUGGUUAAUACCCAUAAGCCCUGACGUUACCCACAGAAUAAGCACCGGCUAACUCUGUGCCAGCAGCCGCGGUAAUACAGAGGGUGCAAGCGUUAAUCGGAAUUACUGGGCGUAAAGCGCGCGUAGGUGGUUAUUUAAGUCAGAUGUGAAAGCCCCGGGCUUAACCUGGGAACUGCAUCUGAUACUGGAUAACUAGAGUAGGUGAGAGGGGAGUAGAAUUCCAGGUGUAGCGGUGAAAUGCGUAGAGAUCUGGAGGAAUACCGAUGGCGAAGGCAGCUCCCUGGCAUCAUACUGACACUGAGGUGCGAAAGCGUGGGUAGCAAACAGGAUUAGAUACCCUGGUAGUCCACGCCGUAAACGAUGUCUACCAGUCGUUGGGUCUUUUAAAGACUUAGUGACGCAGUUAACGCAAUAAGUAGACCGCCUGGGGAGUACGGCCGCAAGGUUA